GAGUUUGAUCCUGGCUCAGGACGAACGCUGGCGGCGUGCUUUAUACAUGCAAGUCGAACGAGGACCGGGUGCUUGCACCUGGAGCCGAGUGGCGAACGGGCGAGUAACACGUGACCAAUCUGUCCUUGGGAGAGGGACAACCUGGGGAAACCCGGGCUAAUACCGCAAGACGUGCAGCCAUCACAUGGUGGCGGUACUAAAGGGGGCCUCUACAUGUAAGCUCUCGCCCAGGGAGGAGGUCGCGGCGUAUCAGCUUGUUGGUGGGGUAACGGCCUACCAAGGCUACGACGCGUAGGGUCUGAGAGGACGAUCCGUCACAUUGGGACUGAGAUACGGCCCAGACUCCUACGGGAGGCAGCAGUAGGGAAUAUUGCGCAAUGGUCGAAAGACUGACGCAGCGACGCCGCGUGUGGGAGGAAGCCUUUCGGGGUGUAAACCACUGUCAGAUGGGAAGAACGACGCAUGUUCAAACAGGGCAUGCGCAUGACGGUACCAUCAGAGGAAGCGCCGGCUAACUCCGUGCCAGCAGCCGCGGUAAGACGGAGGGCGCAAGGUUGUUCGGAAUUACUGGGCGUAAAGCGCGGGCAGGUGGUCCGUUAAGUCUUCUGUGAAAACCCGGGGCUCAACUCCGGACAUGCAGGAGAUACUGGCGGGCUAGAGACCGGUAGAGGCUAGUGGAAUUCCUGGUGUAGCGGUGGAAUGUCUAGAUAUCAGGAAGAACACCGGUGGCGAAGCGGCUAGCUGGGCCGGGUCUGACACUCAUCCGCGAAAGCGUGGGGGAGCAAACAGGAUUAGAUACCCUGGUAGUCCACGCCGUAAACGAUGGGCACUAGGUGCCGGGCCUAUAGACGGGUUCGGUGCCGGGACUAACGCAUUAAGUGCCCCGCCUGGGGACUACGGCCGCAAGGCUGAAACUCAAAGGAAUUGACGGGGGCCCGCACAAGCGGUGGAGCAUGUGGUUAAAUUCGAAGCAACGCGCAGAACCU
This 986-nucleotide ribosomal RNA is filed under the name uncultured bacterium. Its description in RNAcentral is "bacterial SSU rRNA". It matches the Rfam family "Bacterial small subunit ribosomal RNA", at positions 9 to 971 of the family's 1533-position model. The record is from RNAcentral.